GAUCUUGAACAUCUACACCCCCUGCGCUAUACUAAAAGGUGCGGUGCCUCGCAAGGGGUGCGGCUAUGGCGUUGACAACGCCGGUGCGGAAUAGGGGCCUUGGACCCGGGGGCGGUACCCGGCGGCUCCACCAGAAUGCGGGGCAAUAGCCGCAUUCCGGCGGGGCCGAAAUAGGAUCGACAGGGCCCGGUAAAGGCACGCGGUGGCGCUCGGUUGGACCCGCCGUUAUCGGGACACAAAGCGAUAGUUGCCAAUGACAACAUCGUCUUACGCGUAGCCGCCAACGACGACUUCGCCGUCGUCGCUGACGAAAAAAUGGCCGCCUAAUCGGGUGACCAUUCUGCUGCGAUAAUCCCCGGCGGCUAGACCCCGCCGGGUGGGGCUUUCCCGGGUGGGCCCAGCAACAGAAACCACCC
Molecule: transfer-messenger RNA, 416 nt
Filed under: Rhodospirillaceae bacterium
Lineage: Bacteria; Pseudomonadati; Pseudomonadota; Alphaproteobacteria; Rhodospirillales; Rhodospirillaceae
Also listed under: 1 other name
Rfam family: Alphaproteobacteria transfer-messenger RNA
About the family: Bacterial tmRNA, also known as 10Sa RNA or SsrA, is named for its dual tRNA and mRNA-like properties. Its role is to liberate the mRNA from a stalled ribosome. To accomplish this part of the tmRNA is used as a reading frame that ends in a translation stop signal.
Source: RNAcentral